GAAAUGCGAUAAGUAAUGUGAAUUGCAGAAUUCAGUGAAUCAUCGAAUCUUUGAACGCACAUUGCGCCCGCCAGCACUCUGGCGGGCAUGCCUGUUCGAGCGUCAUUUCAACCCUCAGAACCCCUUGCGGGAUCUGGCGUUGGGGAUUGGCAUCCAGCCAGCCCCGAAAUCUAGUGGCGGUCCCUCCGCGACCUCCCCUGUGCAGUAGCGAUACCUCGCAGCGGGACAGCGGUCUGACCACGCCGUAAAACCCCCAACUUCUCAAGGUUGACCUCGAAUCAGGCAGGAAUACCCGCUGAACAUAAGC
Molecule: unclassified non-coding RNA, 307 nt
Filed under: plant metagenome
Description: partial contains 5.8S ribosomal RNA, internal transcribed spacer 2, and large subunit ribosomal RNA
Rfam family: 5.8S ribosomal RNA (bases 1-105)
Source: RNAcentral